RNAcentral lists this small nuclear RNA (292 nucleotides) under Castor canadensis (American beaver). RNAcentral's name for it is "7SK RNA (ENSCCNG00000024199.1)". It matches the Rfam family "7SK RNA". From Rfam's summary of the family: 7SK was discovered as an abundant small nuclear RNA in the mid-70s but a possible function has only recently been suggested. Two independent studies have found that 7SK RNA binds the CDK9/cyclin T complex (known as elongation factor P-TEFb). Lineage: Eukaryota; Metazoa; Chordata; Mammalia; Rodentia; Castoridae. The record is from RNAcentral.
GGAUGUGAGGGUGAUCUGGCUGUGACAUCUGUUAUCCCAUUGACCACCAGGGUUGAUUCAGCUGAUCUGGUUGGCUAGGUGGGUGUCCCCUUCCUCCUCACAACUCUAUAGGUAUCUCUCCUAAAGCUGUGUGCUCGGUUAGAAAGGACAUCCCCAAUAGAAGAGAACCAUUCUUAGGUCAAGGGUAGCUGCACUCCCCUGCUAGAACCUCCAAACAAGCUCUCAAAAAGCUAACCAUUGCUGGACAACAGGGCUCAUGUUUCUAAUCCUAGCUACUUGGUAGGCUGAGAUU